UACGGAGGGGGCUAGCGUUGUUCGGAAUUACUGGGCGUAAAGCGCACGUAGGCGGCUUUGUAAGUUAGAGGUGAAAGCCCAGGGCUCAACUCUGGAACUGCCUUUAAGACUGCGAGGCUUGAUCACGGGAGAGGUGAGUGGAAUUCCGAGUGUAGAGGUGAAAUUCGUAGAUAUUCGGAAGAACACCAGUGGCGAAGGCGGCUCACUGGACCGUUGAUGACGCUGAGGUGCGAAAGCGUGGGGAGCAAACAGG
RNAcentral lists this ribosomal RNA (253 nucleotides) under uncultured bacterium. RNAcentral's name for it is "partial 16S ribosomal RNA". It matches the Rfam family "Bacterial small subunit ribosomal RNA", at positions 524 to 776 of the family's 1533-position model. The record is from RNAcentral.